AACGCUAGCUACAGGCUUAACACAUGCAAGUCGAGGGGCAGCGCAGUGUAGCAAUACAUGGGCGGCGACCGGCGCACGGGUGCGUAACGCGUAUCCAACCUUCCCGUUACUCAGGGAUAGCCUUCCGAAAGGGAGAUUAAUACCUGAUGGUGUUGAAAUUCCGCAUGUUAUUUCAACUAAAGAUUUAUCGGUAACGGAUGGGGAUGCGUGACAUUAGGUAGAUGGCGGGGUAACGGCCCACCAUGCCUACGAUGUCUAGGGGUUCUGAGAGGAAGGUCCCCCACACUGGAACUGAGACACGGUCCAGACUCCUACGGGAGGCAGCAGUGAGGAAUAUUGGUCAAUGGCCGGAAGGCUGAACCAGCCAAGUAGCGUGAAGGAUGAAGGUUCUAUGGAUUGUAAACUUCUUUUAUACGGGAAUAAAACGUCCCACGUGUGGGAUCUUGUAUGUACCGUAUGAAUAAGCAUCGGCUAACUCCGUGCCAGCAGCCGCGGUAAUACGGAGGAUGCGAGCGUUAUCCGGAUUUAUUGGGUUUAAAGGGUGCGUAGGCGGCAUAUCAAGUCAGCGGUUAAAUGUCGGGGCUCAACCUCGGCCUGCCGUUGAAACUGAUGAGCUAGAGAGGAUGAGAAGUAUGCGGAAUGCGUGGUGUAGCGGUGAAAUGCAUAGAUAUCACGAAGAACUCCGAUUG
This 689-nucleotide ribosomal RNA is filed under the name uncultured bacterium. RNAcentral describes it as "bacterial SSU rRNA". It matches the Rfam family "Bacterial small subunit ribosomal RNA", at positions 32 to 715 of the family's 1533-position model. The record is from RNAcentral.